CCCAGACUCCUACGGGAGGCAGCAGUGGGGGAUAUUGCACAAUGGGGGGAACCCUGAUGCAGCGACGCCGCGUGGGUGAAGGAGCGUUUCGGCGCGUAAAGCCCUCUCGGCAGGGAAGAAGGAGGACGGUACCUGACUAAGAAGCCCCGGCUAACUACGUGCCAGCAGCCGCGGUAAUACGUAGGGGGCAAGCGUUAUCCGGAUUUACUGGGUGUAAAGGGGGCGCAGACGGCAGCGCAAGCCAGGAGUGAAAGCCCGGGGCCCAACCCCGGGACUGCUCUUGGAACUGCGCGGCUGGAGUGCAGGAGGGGCAGGCGGAAUUCCUGGUGUAGCGGUGAAAUGCGUAGAUAUCAGGAGGAACACCGGUGGCGAAGGCGGCCUGCUGGACUGCGACUGACGUUGAGGCCCGAAAGCGUGGGGAGCAAACAGGAUUAGAUACCCGCGUACCC
Molecule: ribosomal RNA, 449 nt
Filed under: uncultured bacterium
Lineage: Bacteria
Description: partial 16S ribosomal RNA
Rfam family: Bacterial small subunit ribosomal RNA
Source: RNAcentral